AGUGAACGCUGGCGGUAGGCCUAACACAUGCAAGUCGAACGGCAGCACAGUAAGAGCUUGCUCUUACGGGUGGCGAGUGGCGGACGGGUGAGGAAUACAUCGGAAUCUACUUUUUCGUGGGGGGUAACGUAGGGAAACUUACGCUAAUACCGCAUACGACCUACGGGUGAAAGCAGGGGAUCUUCGGACCUUGCGCGAUUGAAUGAGCCGAUGUCGGAUUAGCUAGUUGGCGGGGUAAAGGCCCACCAAGGCGACGAUCCGUAGCUGGUCUGAGAGGAUGAUCAGCCACACUGGAACUGAGCCACGGUCCAGACUCCUACGGGAGGCAGCAGUGGGGAAUAUUGGACAAUGGGCGCAAGCCUGAUCCAGCCAUACCGCGUGGGUGAAGAAGGCCUUCGGGUUGUAAAGCCCUUUUGUUGGGAAAGAAAAGCAGCAGGUUAAUACCCCGCUGUUCUGACGGUACCCAAAGAAUAAGCACCGGCUAACUUCGUG
RNAcentral lists this ribosomal RNA (492 nucleotides) under uncultured bacterium. Its description in RNAcentral is "partial 16S ribosomal RNA". It matches the Rfam family "Bacterial small subunit ribosomal RNA", at positions 29 to 507 of the family's 1533-position model. The record is from RNAcentral.